UGGGGAAUAUUGCACAAUGGGCGAAAGCCUGAUGCAGCAACGCCGCGUGAGUGAUGAAGGCCUUCGGGUUGUAAAGCUCUGUCUUCUGGGACGAUAAUGACGGUACCAGAGGAGGAAGCCACGGCUAACUACGUGCCAGCAGCCGCGGUAAUACGUAGGUGGCAAGCGUUGUCCGGAUUUACUGGGCGUAAAGAAUGCGUAGGCGGAUACUUAAGUCAGAUGUGAAAUACCCGAGCUCAACUUGGGUGCUGCAUUUGAAACUGGGUAUCUAGAGUGCGGGAGAGGUAAGUGGAAUUCCUAGUGUAGCGGUGAAAUGCGUAGAGAUUAGGAAGAACACCAGUGGCGAAGGCGACUUACUGGACCGUAACUGACGCUGAGGCAUGAAAGCGUGGGGAGCAAACA
This 402-nucleotide ribosomal RNA is filed under the name uncultured bacterium. RNAcentral's name for it is "bacterial SSU rRNA". It matches the Rfam family "Bacterial small subunit ribosomal RNA", at positions 355 to 774 of the family's 1533-position model. The record is from RNAcentral.